GGAUCUGGAAUUGUUUAUCUCAGCUGUACGCCAAAGACAUCACUACUCCUGAUGAUAAACAAGAGCUUGAUGAGGCUUUACAGCAGGAGGUGGAUGUUCGAAAGGAUCUGAUAAGAAAUUUUGCAAACACGAUUGAUCUUGAUCAGCUAGAUAUUUGAUGGUGCAACUUAUUGUGAAGCUGAAUGUUUUCCUCAGUAACCAUAACACACAGAUAUUUUCAUAUAUGCCAUGGAAUGCAGAGAAGCAAGCAAGGCCCCCAUUUUUGUUGAUGACAUUUGGUUAUGAAAGAACCACUGUUGUGCACAAGGGGAAUGGUCAUUUGUAAUGGAGGAAUUUGAUUUAUACCAAAAUGACUUCUUUUUU
Non-coding RNA from Arachis ipaensis, 363 nucleotides. NCBI's taxonomy places the organism in Eukaryota, Viridiplantae, Streptophyta, Magnoliopsida, Fabales, Fabaceae. The record is from RefSeq and is a predicted model, not a curated record.